This is a long non-coding RNA of Poecile atricapillus (Black-capped chickadee), 916 nucleotides long. RefSeq lists it as uncharacterized. The record is from RefSeq and is a predicted model, not a curated record. NCBI's taxonomy places the organism in Eukaryota, Metazoa, Chordata, Aves, Passeriformes, Paridae. The transcript has 3 exons.
UUUCCCGGGAUCAGCGGGCAGCAGAGACGCUGGGCUGGACACGGGGCCCAUCACCACAGCCCGGCCACUCUUCCCAGGAGUGGGGCAGCGCAGCUGGAGGGGCUGGGACAGGGCCAGCUGUCACAGCACGAUGCUCCAAAGCACACAGCUCCCCUGCUUCCUGUCAUUUCCCUGCCCAGCAAACACAGGGAGAGGCCAGCCCAGAGCAUGGACACGAGUGGGGGAACCCCCUUCCGGCAGGGCUCUUGUGCCAGUAUCUCCAGAGGGUCAGAAACAGACAUAGCACCACAAACCAUGUCCUCCUGCCCAAUCCAUGCCUCAUGUGAGACCUCUCUGCCCUCCAUGCUUCAUCUGCACAGGGUUCCACCGUGGAAGGCCACCGUGGCUGUCAUUACUCCAGUGUGGAGCUGAGGAACAGGUGGACCAAGUGACCUGCUCAUGGCCAGCUGGGAAAGCAUUGCAGGGCAGGGAUUGACCCCAAGUGUCUCAGCUUCCCCUGAAGAGCAGCUCAGCACUGACUCCAUUCACGUGGCUUCAGCUCACGGUGGCAGAGCUGUCCCUGUGGGAGCUCACACCGUGGGAAGGCCGGCUCUCCCCUCGGAGGGCAAGCAAGGGACAGAUUGAAACCGAAAGCCCUUGUUUUGCUUUUCACACUACAAAAGUUAGCUGACAUCAGUGGUCUCCUCCCAGAAAAAGGGGAACUAAACCUGGACCUGAGGGGAAACCAGAUCCUCGGCAGGCUCCCAAGUCAAUGGGGGCUGAUGCUGGCAAGAGUUGUGCUCCAUGCCGUGCCUGCAGUUUCCCCAGGUAAAAAUGUGCUGGAGAAGGCACAGGCAGCUCCAGUGGGCAGGGCAGGAGCAGGGAGGCGUCAGGUGGCUUGCAAGGACCAGAGAGGACCAAAGAUGGAGACCCAGUC